Molecule: ribosomal RNA, 649 nt
Filed under: Enterococcus faecalis
Lineage: Bacteria; Bacillati; Bacillota; Bacilli; Lactobacillales; Enterococcaceae
Description: bacterial SSU rRNA
Rfam family: Bacterial small subunit ribosomal RNA
Source: RNAcentral
GAACGCUGGCGGCGUGCCUAAUACAUGCAAGUCGAACGCUUCUUUCCUCCCGAGUGCUUGCACUCAAUUGGAAAGAGGAGUGGCGGACGGGUGAGUAACACGUGGGUAACCUACCCAUCAGAGGGGGAUAACACUUGGAAACAGGUGCUAAUACCGCAUAACAGUUUAUGCCGCAUGGCAUAAGAGUGAAAGGCGCUUUCGGGUGUCGCUGAUGGAUGGACCCGCGGUGCAUUAGCUAGUUGGUGAGGUAACGGCUCACCAAGGCCACGAUGCAUAGCCGACCUGAGAGGGUGAUCGGCCACACUGGGACUGAGACACGGCCCAGACUCCUACGGGAGGCAGCAGUAGGGAAUCUUCGGCAAUGGACGAAAGUCUGACCGAGCAACGCCGCGUGAGUGAAGAAGGUUUUCGGAUCGUAAAACUCUGUUGUUAGAGAAGAACAAGGACGUUAGUAACUGAACGUCCCCUGACGGUAUCUAACCAGAAAGCCACGGCUAACUACGUGCCAGCAGCCGCGGUAAUACGUAGGUGGCAAGCGUUGUCCGGAUUUAUUGGGCGUAAAGCGAGCGCAGGCGGUUUCUUAAGUCUGAUGUGAAAGCCCCCGGCUCAACCGGGGAGGGUCAUUGGAAACUGGGAGACUUGAUUGCAG